UACGGAGGGUGCGAGCGUUGUCCGGAAUCAUUGGGCGUAAAGGGCGCGUAGGUGGCCCGGUCAGUUCGUGGUGAAAGCGCGGGGCUCAACCCUGCGUCGGCCAUGAAUACUGCCGCGGCUGGAGCACUGUAGAGGCAGGCGGAAUUCCGGGUGUAGCGGUGGAAUGCGUAGAUAUCAAGCGGAACACCGGUGGCGAAGGCGGCCUUCUGGACAGUGACUGACGCUGAGACGCGAAAGCGUGGGGAGCAAACAGG
Molecule: ribosomal RNA, 254 nt
Filed under: uncultured bacterium
Lineage: Bacteria
Description: partial 16S ribosomal RNA
Rfam family: Bacterial small subunit ribosomal RNA
Source: RNAcentral